UACGUAGGGUGCGAGCGUUGUCCGGAAUUACUGGGCGUAAAGAGCUCGCAGGCGGUUUGUCGCGUUGUUCGUGAAAACUCACAGCUCAACUGUGGGCGUGCGGGCGAUACGGGCAGACUGGAGUACUGCAGGGGAGACUGGAAUUCCUGGUGUAGCGGUGGAAUGCGCAGAUAUCAGGAGGAACACCGGUGGCGAAGGCGGGUCUCUGGGCAGUAACUGACGCUGAGGAGCGAAAGCGUGGGGAGCGAACAGG
RNAcentral lists this ribosomal RNA (253 nucleotides) under uncultured bacterium. Its description in RNAcentral is "partial 16S ribosomal RNA". It matches the Rfam family "Bacterial small subunit ribosomal RNA", at positions 524 to 776 of the family's 1533-position model. The record is from RNAcentral.